AUCAUGCAGUCGAGGAUGAAGCCCCUCGGGGUGGAUUAUUGUCGAACGGGUGAGAAAAAGCCCAAAAUCUGCCCUUCACUCUGGGACAAGCCCUGGAAACGGGGUCUAAUACCGGAUACGACUGCGGGAGGCAUCUCCUGCGGUGGAAAGCUCCGGCGGUGAAGGAUGAGCCCGCGGCCUAUCAGCUUGUUGGUGGGGUAAUGGCCUACCAAGGCGACGACGGGUAGCCGGCCUGAGAGGGCGACCGGCCACACUGGGACUGAGACACGGCCCAGACUCCUACGGGAGGCAGCAGUGGGGAAUAUUGCACAAUGGGCGAAAGCCUGAUGCAGCGACGCCGCGUGAGGGAUGACGGCCUUCGGGUUGUAAACCUCUUUCAGCAGGGAAGAAGCGAAAGUGACGGUACCUGCAGAAGAAGCGCCGGCUAACUACGUGCCAGCAGCCGCGGUAAUACGUAGGGCGCAAGCGUUGUCCGGAAUUAUUGGGCGUAAAGAGCUCGUAGGCGGCUUGUCACGUCGGGUGUGAAAGCCCGGGGCUUAACCCCGGUCUGCAUCCGAUACGGGCAGGCUAAAGUGUGGUAGGGGAGAUCGGAAUUCCUGGUGUAGCGGUGAAAUGCGCAGAUAUCAGGAGGAACACCGGUGGCGAAGGCCGAUCUCUGGGCCAUUACUGACGCUGAGGAGCGAAAGCGUGGGGAGCGAACAGGAUUAGAUACCCUGGUAGUCCACGCCGUAAACGUUGGGAACUAGGUGUUGGCGACUAUUCCACGUCGUCGGUGCCGCAGCUAACGCAUUAAGUUCCCGCCUGGGGAGUACGGCCGCAAGGCUAAACUCAAAGGAAUUGACGGGGCCCGCACAAGCAGCGGAGCAUGUGCUAAUUCGACGCACGCGAAGAACCUUACCAAGGCUGACAUACACGGGAAGCAUCAGAGAUGGUGCCCCUUGUGGUCGUGUACAGUGUGCAUGCUGUCCUCAGCUCGGUCGUGAGAUGU
This 988-nucleotide ribosomal RNA is filed under the name Streptomyces sp. AMF3811. RNAcentral's name for it is "bacterial SSU rRNA". It matches the Rfam family "Bacterial small subunit ribosomal RNA", at positions 52 to 1075 of the family's 1533-position model. Lineage: Bacteria; Bacillati; Actinomycetota; Actinomycetes; Kitasatosporales; Streptomycetaceae. The record is from RNAcentral.